AGAAGUGGAAAUGUAAGGGCUUUUUUACCAUAAAGAAGCAGCAUAAAGUCAUUAAUGUUGUUUUUCAGCUGGAAUGUGCUUUAUGAGAAUUACACUAGAAGAAGCCCGAAGGAGGACUUGUGGAAAACAUGCCUGAGCAAAGCAUGGGCAGUGAAAUUGUUGCAUCAUGACAUUGAUCCAGGGCUCUGGGGACAGCAGAGGAGAUAUCAUGGAAAUUUUCCAUUGACCACUGGACUCCAAGUUCUCCUGAUGAUUGGCUGCUAUCUCCACUGCUGUAUUUACAGGGGGAAAUUCCCAUCUGUCAUAUGGCAUGAAGUUCCUUUUGCGCUUAAAGCAACAACAAUAAAGGCAAUUCAUGAAAAUGAGGCUUUCCUUCAUCCAGCCAAUGUUACGCCUGGCUGCUCUGAGGUUGGAGAAAUGCUUAAGAAGCCUGAAACCAUUUAGGUUUAUUAUCGUAAGAUGGUGCUGACGAAUAGAGACAGGCAUUGCAGAGAAAGAAAAAUGAUGAUGACCACAAUUGCCACCCAACUCAUAACGGAAGCAGAUAUUAUGUACACAUCGACCAACUGGAACUGGAAUAGUUCAUACUUAAUUGUCUUUGACUUUGCAAGAGGAGAGGGGCUGGAUUAAAUAUGCAGCAGAUUUCUCAAGCAGAAGAUACAUGGUUUCCAUCCAGAGAUCUAAUUAAAGGAUGCUGAGUGAUUAAAAAUGACCAUGGCACCCUCAAGAGAAAGCAACUGAAUGCGCUGGAGUGAUAAUGUCCUCAGGGCUACAUCAGAGCUUAUCUUUGUCCCCCAGUAAAUGUAAUGAGUGAGGAGGACGUGACAAGCCCACAGAUAACAGCGGCAGCAUGUGUACUCUUUCCUUCUUUGCCUCUGUCUUCAUUGAAGAGUCUGGAUUUGAGUUUAAUUUCACUAGUUAGUGGUCUGUGGGGGCAUGAGUCUAUUCUAGCACCAUUACUCUGAUAAUUUGCACAUCACAGCCGAGGCUCGGAAUCUUCUCUGUUGGGAAGAGAUGCAGACUUUAUGAAGAAAAGAUUUUCUCCUUAGGUUAUUGUCUGGACUUGUCUUUUUUCAUUUUUUUUAAAAAAUGAAGUUGUAUACUCAACUACCUCAGGGUCUUAAACUAUUCAUUUCCAGUCUAUCUUAGGACUUGUAUUUCGACAGAGAUUUCAAUACUUUUGGCUAACUCAUUGUCCCCUGUUAAAGUACAAAUAUCUGAGUACUGACUGUGUAGAGAGAUUAGAGAGAGAUUCGGUUGUGAUAUAGUGCUGAAGAAAAAUAGGACAAAGGCCAUGAACUUGUGUGACCUUCUAUGGCCAUCCCAGCUACUGUUAUUUGCACAGAACAGAGGAGGAAGAUGGGAAAGGUUAAAAAUUAUUUCCUCCUCACAGUAUCAUUCAGCUCUAUUUCUUUUUGAGGAAGAAGAACCUUUUAGAUAUUUGUCUAGCCAGGGAGGUAUGAUAAGAUCUAAGGACCAAAAUGGUUUUAUGAUCAUAAAUUAGGUGAAAGUUGAACUGAGGGACUCAGAGAAGCCUUAGCUAGGGUAUCUUUCACAUUCUUUGAGCAGCUGUAGACUUUUUUCUUUCAGGGCAGAGGCUUAUUAGCCACAGCAGCAAUCUCCUUUCCCAAAAAGUAGAUGGAAUUCAAAGUAGCAGAGGGGCCAAAGGUAACACCUCCACUGAACACAAUAGCUAAGUCAAGUAGAAGGAUGAAAGAAUAUAGUCCUUCUCUGAAGGGGAGGAGGCUGGUUAAUAACAGGGCUUCCCAUUGAAAGGGUUCUUAAUCUAAUAUCUGUGAAUGUUUUUUAGAAAAAAUUGUUUUUGGAUAACCAUAUUUCAAUAUUAUAAAUUUCCGUUGUAAUACCUUGUAUUUUCUUUUAUGCAUUUAACUUAUGAUUCUGAGAAGGGUCUAUAGGUUUCAUCAGAGAGCCAAGGGGGCAUAAUACAAAAAAAAAAUUAAGAACCCAUUUCCUGUGGGAUUGGGGCAAUGUCUGGAAGAGCUGGGCUGACAGAACUGUAGUCCUCUUUUUCAGGAAAGAGGCUUACUGACCACAGCACCCUGAUUGGAUAGGGCAGGCCUGUAUAACAUACUGCUCACGGGCCACAUAUUGUGCAGGCCUGGGUUAGGGUAUGAAGAGAUCCUGAGGAUUGCUGAAUAACUGAAGACCAGCUGGAGCAGAGAUGUGAUAACCAAUAAAGAGUAGUUCAGAUACUGUGACCA
This is a long non-coding RNA of Phascolarctos cinereus (koala), 2222 nucleotides long. The record is from Ensembl. NCBI's taxonomy places the organism in Eukaryota, Metazoa, Chordata, Mammalia, Diprotodontia, Phascolarctidae.